AACGAACGCUGGCGGCAUGCCUAACACAUGCAAGUCGAACGAGACCUUCGGGUCUAGUGGCGCACGGGUGCGUAACGCGUGGGAACCUGCCCUUAGGUUCGGAAUAACUCCCCGAAAGGGGUGCUAAUACCGGAUGAUGUCUUCGGACCAAAGAUUUAUCGCCUUUGGAUGGGCCCGCGUUGGAUUAGCUAGUUGGUAGGGUAAAAGCCUACCAAGGCGACGAUCCAUAGCUGGUCUGAGAGGAUGAUCAGCCACACUGGGACUGAGACACGGCCCAGACCCCUCCGGGGGGAAGCAGGGGGGAAAAUUGGACAAGGGGCGAAACCCUGAUCCCGCAAGGCCGGGGGAGUUAGGAAGGCCUUAGGGUUGUAAAGCUUUUUUACCCGGGAUGAUAAUGACAGUACCGGGAGAAUAAGCCCCGGCUAACCCCGU
Molecule: ribosomal RNA, 432 nt
Filed under: uncultured bacterium
Lineage: Bacteria
Description: partial 16S ribosomal RNA
Rfam family: Bacterial small subunit ribosomal RNA
Source: RNAcentral